AGCAGUCCAGAGAUGGAAGACGCUGACGUGGCCUUGCCAUACUAGCAGUUAACAGCUGUGUGUCACUACAGGUUGCCCAGGACCAAACCAGAGAGGGGCCAGUGAGUGCCUCUUACAACUCAGAACCUCAAAGAAAACCUCAACCCUGUUGUUCCCAGAGCAGACUUGCCAUCUAUUGGAUGGGUGGACCCCAGAGAAAACUGAGGGUGCUAAAAGUGUCUGGUAGUCGGUUCCAGGCACUCCAAAUUUCCUGUUCGUAGUGGCACUCCUCUUGAUUCUCCAAGCGGCACCUUUCCAGAUUCUCAAGCUUUGACCUCAAGUCGACAAACACCUGAGCCCAGAUACUGUCUUGAAAUUCUGCAAGUUGCAUCUCCAAAUCAUCAAUAUGCAUCCAUUGGAAACCAUUUAAUUCCAAACUACUGUAGACUACUACA
This is a long non-coding RNA of Eptesicus fuscus (big brown bat), 434 nucleotides long. RefSeq lists it as uncharacterized. The transcript is spliced from 3 exons. NCBI's taxonomy places the organism in Eukaryota, Metazoa, Chordata, Mammalia, Chiroptera, Vespertilionidae. The record is from RefSeq and is a predicted model, not a curated record.